AGCCUUCCAAUCUGUUAACCCUGGGAGGGUCUCCAGAGUCACACCUCCCCCACUGUCGAAUGUGUACUGUGGGUUUUGAGGGUUGCGAAUGUUGGGAUGGUGUGAUUAUCUCUCACUGCUACUUGCUUGCCCGCUCUGCCACCUGGGGCACAGUCCCUGAGACUCCAGGACAUAACCAGAGCCGCCGCUGCUGCCUCUUUCUCCUCCUCCUCCUCCUCCUCCUCCUCCUCCUCCUCCUCCUCCGAGGCAGUGCUGCUGUGAGGACUACAGAGGAAGGCAGGCAGGAAGCACACAGAGGAUAGAUGAGAAGUGCCUCUGUGACUCCCAGCCCUCCACCUGGAUCUGGAGAGAUGGCUCAGCAGUUAAGGGAACUUCCUGCUCUUCCAGAGCGAGCACUCAGUAGCAAAUCAGGUGGCUCAUAGUGGCCUGUAACACCAGCUCCAAAGGCUCUGAUGCCCUCUUCUGGCCUCAGUAGUCAUAGUAACCUGUGGCCACCAUCUAUUACACAGACACACACACACACACACACACACACACACACACACAAAGCAAUCCAUAAUAGGAAACAGGUACAUUUUGGGUUUUGUACAUUUUAAUGUAAUGAAAAACAGGUAUUUUCAUUACAUUAAAGCUCACCAUAAAAAGAUUUACCACCCCGCCCCUUUAACCCCAAGCUUCUCUGAGAAAGUUUAAAUCUGAUUUUCCAAAAACUAGACUUAAACCUCCAACAGAGACUUGUCACACUUAUACAAAAGACUUUAAUACUCUUCAUAAGGUACGUCCGGGUCCCUGAGAAGAGCCAAUCCUGCAAAGGAAGAUUCUUCCUCAUCUGUAAAAAUGUGAAGUAGUGCUAUCAUUACACAUACCUGUGUGAUUUGGUAGUGAUUGACCCUGAGCUUAAGGCCCAUCCACGCGCCUGGAGAUGUCACCCUGGAAGCAGGGACUCUCCCGAUGGAACAUCUGGAAGAGAGCGGGUGAGCCAGGGCUCCCUCCACACUCAGGGGCUCUAGCAGUUGCUCUUGGGGAGGAAAAGGUGGAUGGAGUUUCAUUCCCCUCUCCAUGAAGUAAAAUAAACAAGGCUGACUGGGGCUCUUGGCUCCAACUUUCCGAUGACUGAUUGUGAAGGCUGCUGCUCUGUUUGGGAGUAAAUCCCCUGGAGAGGAGAACAAACAGGAUCAUGAGAGAGCAAAGUCUAAAAUUGGAUGGGAGGAGAGUGCAAGACCGAAAUGGCUUUUUACUUCCCAUCAUGACUAGUGAUAACUUUACACACUCAGGCGUUAAUGAACAUCACAAUCUGGUGGUGUAUAGUCAAAUGGCAUAUUUUAACUGUUUCUCAUUAAUAAAGUAGAUUUUUAAAAUAUAUGUAUGAGAACAUUAGUGAUAUCCCCCACUAUUUUUGAGAAGUUUAUCUGAUAGAUACAGUCUUUUUCAAAUAUAACCUUUCUUUGCUAUUUACGUUUAGUCAAUAUUAAUUUAACAUAAUUUUCCUUAAUUGGUUCUUUGGUGCCUUUCUCUAAACAAGGCUGAAUGGGAUUGUAAGCAAUUGGCAAGUCAGUAUAGAAGUGGAUGUCCAGACAGGGCCACACUAGGCCUGGCAGGUGUUCCCCAGGAUGCUCCAGGAACGAGUAUCCAUGCUAGGCUCAGAACAGCCUCCCCAGGCCGAGUGAAUGUGCCUCGGGGUGGGUAAGCCUCCAAGGAAACAUCCGCCCACUGUAGUCCUCCAGAAGGUACUGUCUCCAGUCAGAGCCACCAGUGUGGCACACCCUGACAGCUGGCAUCCCUGCAUGCUUGUGAAUGGCUUCCCUUCAUGCUUCUGUGUGACUACUUGGCCCACCAGCCUUGGCACCUCUGCUUCAGCCUCGCAUGCCCCCUGGAGAUGACAUAGCCCUGUCUCUCCCUGCCUCAUGGGCUCCUGUUCCAAAGCUCUCCCCCGGAAAGAGCUUCUCCUUCUCGGGAGAAGACAUUUUGUCUGUGUCGACUGAUUGAGACUAUGUUAAAUGGCUGAAAAGCUGAGUCAUUUUGGAGCUGUGGGUGUGGUCAUCCUAGUCUGUUCUUCACUCAGGAUAAAAUGGAAGUUCUACUGAGAACCGUGGCCUAAGUUUGAGAGGAACCCAGUUAGCGGGAGGCAGCAGCCGUCCACUAAGCUGCUCUUGCCUGGCCUUGCUGUCACACGGAUAGACAUGCCACAUAGAGGGGAGGUGCUGAUGCCCACAGAUUAGGAAGACGUAUGAUAACACAGUGGGAGAGCCGCUGCCUCAGGAAGGGCAGACAGGCCAGUCUUAACCCCGAGGACUAUGGGGAGAGAACCAAAACCGUCACUGCCAAGCAAAUGUACAGAUAAUAUGCCUGAUUUGGUGGCUGAACUAGGAGUGGCCUCUCUCGUCUCUCCUUCCUCCAAAAACUGAGAGCUGUUGCUAAGCUCAUCAGAACAGUGGAGGAGGCAGGUGUGGAGACAAGCAGGCCACACUGCCAGCUGGCUGCAGGGUUGGGCAGACCCAUUGCCAGGCCCUGCCUUCAGAGACAGGCUUCCCUGUUAAAAGGAGAAUUCUCUAAGCAGGCCGACUGGCAAAAUGCUUAGACGUUCAGAUUGCUGUUGAGAACUCAGGGUCUUCAGGGGGAAACAAAAAACAAAGGACUGUUUUCUCUGCUUUCUCUGAUUGUUUUAGGGGCACAGCUUCUAGGUGAUGGACAGCGAAUGAAGUCUAUUGACAGAUAACAUUGAAUCGUUAGGGAACAGGCAAAUGAGAUCUGAGCUCCAACAGCAAGGAAUUGCUACACACCAGAUGCCAGAGUGCCUUGGUUUCUUUUCAGAAGAGAUGUGAGGGAGGCAGGUAUGGGCUGCAGGAGCAAGGGGCAGAAAGAAUGUGAGUGAUGAGUGGGGUGUGGCAGCCACAUGCUCCAUCCCCCUCCUAGGUAAUCCUCCAGGGCCUCCAGGGCCAGGGCACAAAGAGCUGCCCAAAUCCUGGCAAUAUGUGUCCUGUGUGUCUACUGCUGUCUCUCUUUUAGUGAAGGAUGUUUCUCACAUGUAACACGACAACUGUCAAUUGCUCCUAGCUCUGGGACAAGCACCAGGUCACUAGGUAGAUGAAGGUUUCAUCUUCUCCAUGCUGAGAAGACACAAGAAGAGAAAGGAAUUGCAGGCUUCUUGUAACUACAGCCGCUUUCCUAGUCCCACCAGACAGUCAAGGAGGGGGGCCAGAAGAGAAAUGUGUGCCCGUCAUUCGGGGCCCCUAUUUGUGAAAGUGCAGGGUGACCACGCCUAAGUAAGCCUCCUAAUUUUACCUAACAAUGUUGUUGCCUCUAGAGUCCCUUUGAAUGAUGAACUCUGGUGGCUAAGAAGAGCUCAGAUCUGUAUGAAAUCCACACAGGCAUCUCUUUCCAUAGGUGCAAAGGAACUUGGCCAAGGCUUCAGCUGAAAAGCAAUUGAAGCCAGCCAUUGCCGGUGUCCUCCUUAUGGCGGGGUUUCCGAGCAGCUCUCCAUGUGAUAGGAAAGCUCAGGAGUUCAGAGGCUGGAUAUGUCUGAGGUCUUGGUUCUCCACCAUGGAGAAAGGUCUUUCCAUCCUUAUUCCUGGCCUCCCCCUUCCCAAGGUGGACUAGCUGAACCUAGAAGAAACCCUAGGUUAGGAACCAGGACAGUUCUUCAGGUGGCACUUAGCCUUUUUUUAUCAGGUGUCCCAGACAGCCUUUUCAGGGCAGGAGGAUAACAAAAUGCAUUGGCCAAGAAAAUUCAGGUUGCCCAGUUUCAAGGCCUCUUAGCCUUUGGACCAUUUAAGCAGUUAGCUCACAAACCUUGGGCCGGCUUUUAGGGCAUAUUCUCUCCUGUCUCCAUCAGCUCCAGUUGAGCUGAACCUGCAAUGGCUUUUCCCAGCCACUGUGUCCUAAGGGAAAAGAAGCUUUAUCUCCUUGCAGGGCAUGGCAGCUGUAGCACACACACUGUGCUCCCUGGGUCACAGCAGUGAUACGUGCUGCUCAAGUUAGUGUGAUAAAUAAGAGAUGCGGAGCAGCCCGGGCAUGUUGCCUGGUUAAUCUGUUGAACCUGAUAAUGUGGAAACAUCUCUCCAGAGUCUUGGGUUUCAAGUUGGAAAUAUGUCCUUUAGUCUUCCUUCGGAUUCCUUUUCCAAGACUCUGGCUCCAUUUUUCCCCUGGGUCACGCACAAUGUGCAUUUGCUUUGGUGAGAAAAGAAGAGCCCCUUAAAAACAGAUGGCUGAGCACCAGCAUUUCCGACUGUGUGCCCACAUAAGUCACAACCACAUACAUACUCCCGCUCACCAUUUCAGUUCUACUCAACAGUAACAUGGCUGCCGUUUUGCUGUGCUGUUAGCUGUUCCUCCAAAUUCUAACCCAGUGGAAGACUUACUUAUUAUGUCAUUGCAAAGAACAGUAGAUGCUAACUACUGUGUACUUUGGUCACUAUUGUUUGUUGUCCACUAUAAAAAUUCUGAAUUCUCUAAUAUCUCGAUUUCAUCCCUGCAAGGUUUUCUGCCCAUGUGAUACAUGUAAUCAGGAAUUGACUGAGAACAACAAGGGAUUCCUGAUCACCCUCUCCAUCCCCUCUCUUCAGUUGUUUAAUGGCAGUAGAGGGAGAGAGUCACUAAAUAACAUCAGUCUUUAAUUCUGUGCCUGAGAUUUCUAGAAGUGUGACAGAUACACUGAAAAAGCCCUUGGAAGCAAUGAAGGUUAGAGCCUUCCUCUAUUAGGAAGAACGGAGCACACUCAUGUGUAUCUCCUCAGUGCCACAUAGUCUGUGGCCAUACCACUCUGAACAUACACAAUCUCUUUUGGAUGUCAUCAAGAGAUAGGUCUGUCCACACUACUCUUAUUUAUUCUACAAACACCUACCCAGUACCUAGAAUGGGCUGGGCAUUGUGUAAUGACUUUGAAAAAGCCAGAACAGAAGACAUCUUGCUGUCUUUUAGAACCACACAGUCAAGUAAGGAAGGGCAGGUCCUCCA
Long non-coding RNA from Peromyscus leucopus (white-footed mouse), 4953 nucleotides. RefSeq lists it as uncharacterized. NCBI's taxonomy places the organism in Eukaryota, Metazoa, Chordata, Mammalia, Rodentia, Cricetidae. The record is from RefSeq and is a predicted model, not a curated record. The transcript has 2 exons.